UAGAGAAGCAAAGCAUCUGGGGUACUCAAAAGAGAAUACUAUGGAGGAAGAUGAGCUCUUGUUUCCUUGGAGCGUUGGGAGGGAUUUACAGAGGAGAAGGAGCGGGGAGGACAAGGAGCGGGGGGCGCUGCUGAGGCCGCGGUGAUGGCGGCGCUCCCGUCUCAUGAGGCACCGGACUCUCAGCUCUGGCGGGUCCUGCCCAGGCUCCUUGUGGGCGCCGGUCCCUCCCCCUUUCCAUGGGAAAAGGGAAUGUUGGUUCACGCCACAGAUCAAACAGCUUCCAAGUUCAAAAGUGAAACUUUAGAAGAAGACAGUUAACCAGUGGAACAGAUUGCCAGCAGUGUGGUGUGAAUUUUCCAUUACUCUCAGUCUAAAACAAGCAAGUUUCUCUAGAAAAAAUCCAGUGAGUGAGAAAAGUGGGAUACCAGAAGCUCAUGCAGCUGCACAACCCUGGGGGACACCUUAUAAAUUGGCUUCUGACCCCCAGCCAGCAAAGUGGGAAUUGCCCAGUGUUCUUGGGACCACUGACCUGCAGCACCUGCCCGUGGCAUCAGGAGAGUGCCAAAAUCCCUACAAGGCCAAUGGCAAAGAACUGCAGAGAUGAAUUUCCACCUCUGGAAAAGCAAAAAACGGAGACCCAACACAGGAGGCUCUGCCACGUACAGAGUCCCCAGGGGUGGCCAGGCAGGUUUGUGUGUUUGCUGUUUGCUGCUGGGGAGCAGUUGUUUUCUCCACUGUGAUCCCUAAGUAAAGAUUGUUCGAGGGACUUUCAGCCAUACUAGAAAAUCAUUCCCCUAAAAUUUAAAAUUGGGAGGGGAAUAAAGUGACUCAGUAAGAGCUGCAGAACUCAGAACUUUUUUUUUUUUCUUUUCCCCAAAGGGAACUCUACCCUUUUUUAUAUACUUUGAUUUUCUAUAACUGCUAGAACCACUUUGGCAAAAAGUUCAGUAUUUGACAGUU
This is a long non-coding RNA of Lepidothrix coronata (blue-crowned manakin), 960 nucleotides long. RefSeq lists it as uncharacterized. NCBI's taxonomy places the organism in Eukaryota, Metazoa, Chordata, Aves, Passeriformes, Pipridae. The transcript is spliced from 4 exons. The record is from RefSeq and is a predicted model, not a curated record.